This 484-nucleotide ribosomal RNA is filed under the name uncultured bacterium. RNAcentral describes it as "partial 16S ribosomal RNA". It matches the Rfam family "Bacterial small subunit ribosomal RNA", at positions 30 to 507 of the family's 1533-position model. The record is from RNAcentral.
AUUGAACGCUGGCGGCAGGCCUAACACAUGCAAGUCGAGCGGAUGAAGGGAGCUUGCUCCUGGAUUCAGCGGCGGACGGGUGAGUAAUUCCUAGGAAUCUGCCUGGUAGUGGGGGAUAACGUCCGGAAACGGGCGCUAAUACCGCAUACGUCCUGAGGGAGAAAGUGGGGGAUCUUCGGACCUCACGCUAUCAGAUGAGCCUAGGUCGGAUUAGCUAGUUGGUGGGGUAAAGGCCUACCAAGGCGACGAUCCGUAACUGGUCUGAGAGGAUGAUCAGUCACACUGGAACUGAGACACGGUCCAGACUCCUACGGGAGGCAGCAGUGGGGAAUAUUGGACAAUGGGCGAAAGCCUGAUCCAGCAAUGCCGCGUGUGUGAAGAAGGUCUUCGGAUUGUAAAGCACUUUAAGUAGGGAGGAAGGGCAGUAAGUUAAUACCUUGCUGUCUUGACGUUACCAACACAGUAAGCACCGGCUAACUUCGUG